GAGGAGGGGGCGCAGGGGCCGUGGGCGGCUUCCCGGGAGCCCAAAGGAACGAAGCAUUCGCAGACCCUAAAAUUUAUCCGAGGCCAGUGGCCUUGGGAGGGCGAAUGAGGAUGCUUCUGGGCUGGAGCGACAUUUCGAGUUGUUCAGAAAUUGCUAAGAAAGCAAAGAGAAGACCGAAGGUUCACUGGCACGCUAUAUGCUAAAGCUGGAAGAGAACCUGACUCCUCAUCCUGUGUUGUCAUUUGGCUUGCUGACAGGUUUUGAAACGUUCAUCGGUCUCAAAGGGCUGUGAAAUACAGCUCGUUUCGGAAUGUCUCAAAACGAAAAACAGAAGAGGGCUCUGAAAAGGGAGCUCAGAAGGAACGCGGAAGAGCAAAAAGUUCUGAUGACAUAUGAGGCCUUCUGCUCAUCUCCUCACCCCUCCCUUGGGACAGCUGCAGACUGUAAAACUAUUUAGCUGCAGUCUAGAAUUGGCUCCUCGAUAACACGGUUUCUCACAACUUGCAUGACAAUCGCUGAUCCCUUUUGUUUCAGUGUUAUCCAUUUGGAUGUGUGAGAUGCGGACCCAGGAGGUCCGUACCUUCAACUACCCUUCCUUUUGCUGUCUAUGUAAGUAAUAAACUGCCUGAAUCUAAAAGUGACUUGUUAAGGAAUUCUCUUGUGGUGCAGUGGGUUAAGGAUGUGGUGUUGUCACUGCAGCAGCUUAGGUCACUG
Long non-coding RNA from Sus scrofa (pig), 714 nucleotides. RefSeq lists it as uncharacterized. The record is from RefSeq and is a predicted model, not a curated record. Lineage: Eukaryota; Metazoa; Chordata; Mammalia; Artiodactyla; Suidae.